UUUAGCCAAAGAUGAAAAACCCAUUUUCAACACUGCAUUUUGCGAUCAGAAUGUGUCUCGGUCUCCUUUUUCUCAAACAAAGCAAUUUUCAGUUGGAGCAAACGAUACUUUUAGUGAUCCGAUCCCUGUUGUGGCUACUGCUAGGUCACCGCUAGAUAGCUCUCCUACAAUUGAUGCAGGUUCUUCAAUUAGAAAGCCGAUCAGUUUGUGGCCAGGUAUGUACCAUUCGCCUGUGACAAAUGCAUUGUGGGAAGCAAGAUCAAGUAUUUUUGAGAGGUUUUCAG
Molecule: unclassified non-coding RNA, 284 nt
Filed under: Hevea brasiliensis (rubber tree)
Lineage: Eukaryota; Viridiplantae; Streptophyta; Magnoliopsida; Malpighiales; Euphorbiaceae
Source: RNAcentral